Molecule: long non-coding RNA, 710 nt
Organism: Anopheles arabiensis
Lineage: Eukaryota; Metazoa; Arthropoda; Insecta; Diptera; Culicidae
Exons: 2
Source: RefSeq, a predicted model, not a curated record
UUGAAUUGGAAUCAUCAGAGAUGAGAGAGGAUGGUAUUGACUCGUCGAGCCACGUUUCUGUCAGUGCAAUUAUAUCGUAAUCAGAUUCUCCCAGAGCUAGACGUAGAUUAUUAAGUUUGGUACGAAUUCCUCUAACGUUCUGAUAAAACACGUGCAGAUGUAAGUUAGAAGAGACAUUCUGGUGAGUAUGAGCCGAACUAUCAUCGAGGCCCACAGCAGUGAUUGGUGCUACGCCAAGGUAUGGUGAGGAGCGGGGUGCCAGCUGAUUAUUAGUACUGUUAUCAACUAUUGCUGGAUUGUUACUUGCUGUCUGUCUGUUGUUGUUUCGGUGCGUAUAGCUUCGGUGGACGGUACUAUUGUGCAAUGUGUGUUCGGUUUCGGUGAUGAGCAAUGAGCGGGGCGAGGACCCGGGGUAGGAUGUGGCAUUGAUGCGUGGUGUGUUAUGAUUUGUCGGCUUCUACGCAUCAGAAUAGAUUCCCAUCCAGACCGCCCCUCCAUAGCAAAGCAGGAAUAUCCGACUAAAUCUCGAAAACAUGACAGGACAGCCUAAAAAGGAUGACUACGUAGGUCGUUACGUCAAAAAGAAGAAGAUUGUGCAGGUUUUUUUGGAAAACUUGAAGUAUGAAAGUAUGAAAGUAUGAAAGUAUGAAGUAAAUAAAGUAUGAAUGGUGAUGAAACCCUCUAAUAAAAAAUACGAUUAGAUUUUACAA